RNAcentral lists this long non-coding RNA (375 nucleotides) under Phoenix dactylifera (date palm). Its description in RNAcentral is "long non-coding RNA (PDAC_LNC012389)". The record is from RNAcentral. Lineage: Eukaryota; Viridiplantae; Streptophyta; Magnoliopsida; Arecales; Arecaceae.
ACAUGAAUAAAUCUGAAAUUAUAAUAUUAUUUAGAUUAGAUCUAAAUAAAGUUUAUGAUUUAUAUGAUCUCUGAUUUUAAUGAACAAAUCAGAUUUGAAAAUAAAAGUAAAAAAAUAAAUACAUAAGAUGUAUGUUAUUUGAAUUAAUUCAUGUUGUUGUGUAUAUGUGAUGCAUGAACAUAAAACAUAAUGACUUAAACAUGAAUUAAAUCUGAUUACAUGUGAUUAAUUACAAAAACUCAGAUCUGAAAAUAUGUUUUAAGAACUGAAAGAUUGUAAUUAAUAUGUAAUUAAAAUGAAAUAUGCAAUGAUCAAAACUUUCAUAAGUCUAAACUUAAUUGAGAAUUAAGUGUUAUGAAAUAGAAUUGUAACUCA